RNAcentral lists this long non-coding RNA (675 nucleotides) under Chinchilla lanigera (long-tailed chinchilla). Its description in RNAcentral is "lncRNA (ENSCLAG00000023307.1)". The record is from RNAcentral. Lineage: Eukaryota; Metazoa; Chordata; Mammalia; Rodentia; Chinchillidae.
GGUCGCGGGGCCGGGCGGGCUCCCCUGGCUGUCAGCCGCGCUGCCUUCCCGGGCCCGCGGGCUGUCACCUCCGGGCUCGCCUGGCCAGCUACUCGGUCAGCCAGUCGGGCUCAGCGGGCCAGGCAGCCAGCCAGUCAGCUCUUCAGUCAGCCAGCUUUCCCGCCCGUCAGCCCGCUGGUGAAUUGGUCUGUUCUCUUGACCGUCCAGUCAGCCCUUCUGUCAGUCAGCAAUCCUGUCAGUCAGCUCUCCUGUCAGUCAGCCGGCCGCGUCAGCCAGCCCGCGAGCCCUCCCGUCAAGUGAGCCCGCCUAUCACCCGCCCAGUCAGCCAGCGCGCUGUCAGCUAGCCAGUCGGUCGCUAGUCAGGCCUCCUGUCAGUCUGUUGCAGUUUUUAAAUUUGCUUCAGAGAGUCUCCUAUAAAGAGGCAGCUGAUGCCGAAAUGCAGGUUUCAGUGUGGAAUAACGUAUACAAAGACAUUUCUAGAAUGCUUGAAGAAAAUGAAAAAUACAGACUUAGGCUUAAAUGUCAAAGAUCAUCUAAUGAAAGUAAGUUAACACAGUUCAUUGUUUAAAGAAGACCGGCUUCUAGUAACAGUUUAGUUAGCCUUGGAUCACAUUAGGCUAGUAGUUUUCCUAAUUGUCAGAUUUAAUGUACACAACUACAGAAAUGAGAUUACCA